AUUUAAUUUAUUUUAUUUUACCGUAUUUUAUUUUUGAAUAGUUCAAUAUUAACUCGACUUUGUAUUGUAUAUUGUACGGAAUGGUCUAUUUGAAGUUCAAUUGUAAUUGAUACACAUGAUACAUGUAAAUAGCACGUCAGCAUUCAUGAUUGAGGUAAAAAAUUAUUAUCACUCGCAAGAAAAAUUAAUAUUUUCACCGGAUUUUUCGCAAACAAUUUACCAUACAUAUGUUGUACAUUUGUAAAUACUAGUAGAUGGACGUACUGUACAUGUACAAGACCCGACAAAAAUAACUAGCGCCAGUGAAAGUUCAAAUGUUCAAAACAAGAAAACUCGCAUUGUUUCAGACAGGGA
This 354-nucleotide long non-coding RNA is filed under the name Mytilus galloprovincialis (Mediterranean mussel). The record is from RNAcentral. Lineage: Eukaryota; Metazoa; Mollusca; Bivalvia; Mytilida; Mytilidae.